Limulus polyphemus (Atlantic horseshoe crab) is the source of this 428-nucleotide long non-coding RNA. RefSeq lists it as uncharacterized. NCBI's taxonomy places the organism in Eukaryota, Metazoa, Arthropoda, Merostomata, Xiphosura, Limulidae. The record is from RefSeq and is a predicted model, not a curated record. The transcript has 4 exons.
UAGUGGUGGUGUACUUCCGCUCGCUCUUGAAUCAUGUUUCCAUCCCCCUGCCGCCGGCUGUCAAUUGACCCCUGUAAAUAAAACCAUGCAAGACACAAUAACAACAAGAAUUACAAUGGCCACAGAAGCAGACACUGGUGCUAAAACUGGCAGACGGAAAUACUCUGGGUUCCAGCUCCCCUGGCUUCCACCGACACAUCAGUAGGUGAAGCACUUGGCUCUGAAAACAAAGAUGGUACAUCAUGUACUCUUAAUAGAAAGCUUACAAGGAUAUGGAAGGUUUUUUGUAUUCAAACAAUGGAGUUCCUUUUCCUACAUCAUUUUCUGCCAUCACUCGCACAACGUAGGAUGUUCCUGGUUGAAGUUUAUAAAGUAUUGUUGAAGUCUGUGCUGAAGAAACUGUUUCUUCUUCCAGUCGAUGAGGAGUA